Non-coding RNA from Podarcis lilfordi (Lilford's wall lizard), 78 nucleotides. The record is from the annotation of a GenBank genome assembly. Lineage: Eukaryota; Metazoa; Chordata; Lepidosauria; Squamata; Lacertidae.
GAUCUAUUUCUUCACAAGUGUGGUUAGAGAAUGGUGCUGAUAACGUCAAGGUUGCAGGUUCGAUCCCCGUAUGGGACA